GACGAACGCUGGCGGCGUGCUUAACACAUGCAAGUCGAGCGGUAAGGCCCUUUCGGGGGUACACGAGCGGCGAACGGGUGAGUAACACGUGGGUGACCUGCCCUCAGCUCUGGGAUAAGCCUGGGAAACCGGGUCUAAUACUGGAUAUGACUCCAUGACGCAUGUUGUGGGGUGGAAAGCCUUGUGCGGCUGAGGAUGGGCCCGCGGCCUAUCAGCUUGUUGGUGGGGUGANGGCCUACCAAGGCGACGACGGGCAGCCGGCCUGAGAGGGCGACCGGCCACACUGGGACUGAGACACGGCCCAGACUCCUACGGGAGGCAGCAGUGGGGAAUCUUGCGCAAUGGGCGAAAGCCUGACGCAGCGACGCCGCGUGAGGGAUGACGGCC
RNAcentral lists this ribosomal RNA (387 nucleotides) under uncultured bacterium. RNAcentral's name for it is "bacterial SSU rRNA". It matches the Rfam family "Bacterial small subunit ribosomal RNA", at positions 28 to 416 of the family's 1533-position model. The record is from RNAcentral.